RNAcentral lists this ribosomal RNA (403 nucleotides) under uncultured bacterium. RNAcentral describes it as "partial 16S ribosomal RNA". It matches the Rfam family "Bacterial small subunit ribosomal RNA", at positions 28 to 526 of the family's 1533-position model. The record is from RNAcentral.
GACGAACGCUGGCGGCGUGCCUAAUACAUGCAAGUCGAACGCAGUGGGGACGGGUGAGGAACACGUGGGUAACCUCCCAUCAGAGGGGAUAACACUUGGAAACAGGUGCUAAACCGAUACUGAUGUAUGGUCCCGCGGUGGAUUAGCUAGAUGGUGGGGUAACGGCGCACCAAGGCCACGAUGCAUAGCCGACCGGAGAGUAUGAUCGGCCACACUGGGACUGAGACACGGUCCAGACUCCUACGGGAGGCAGCAGUAGGGAAUCUUCGACAAUGGACGAAAGUCUGACCGAGCAACGCCGCGUGUGUGAAGAAGGUUUUCGGAUCGUAAAGCUCUUUUGUUAGGGAAGCGGUAUCUAACCAGAAAGCCACGGCUAACUACGUGCCAGCAGCCGCGGUAAUUC